RNAcentral lists this long non-coding RNA (669 nucleotides) under Zostera marina. Its description in RNAcentral is "long non-coding RNA (ZMAR_LNC001748)". The record is from RNAcentral. Lineage: Eukaryota; Viridiplantae; Streptophyta; Magnoliopsida; Alismatales; Zosteraceae.
UCGUGAAUGAGCAUGAGCAGAGCGUCCUAUUGGAGCAACGCUCUCUGCUCUUUCGCGUUCUUGCACCUCCUCUUGAAUUUGGUCUCAUCGAAUCCGAUUGCUGCCAUUUCUAUGUUGCAUUUGAGUACCUGCUGCAUCGUAUCCGACUUGGCCUGCAUCCUUCUUUGAUUGCGCUGCUUCCAUAUGUGUGUGAAAUAGAAAGAAGAGUUAGCCUGCCAAAAUUCAAAACAUUUAAAUUAAAAAAAUCAGGAAACGGGUCAAACCCAACAACCCAAGUAAAGAUCCAAUUAAAUUAAAAGAGGAGGCAGUUGAAAGGCGGAAGAUAUAAAAAGGAGAGGCAGUGAAAGAAGUUACUGGAAAAGAUUUUCCUUUUGCAUUUGUGAAUUUUUCUGCUUUCUGAUUCCCAGCAGUUUGAUCUUGGUGUUCCAGAUGGGUGGCAGUUGUCAAAGAAAUGAUAUUUUCAUCUCUAAAAUAGUACGAUGAUUAUACUCACAAACGGUCCAAAAAAUUACAUUGGUCUGAGAUGAACCGUGCAUCAUUGAGCGUUUUUAAGAAGGACUAUUCUGAUAUUUGUUUUUUAUACUACAUUAUCACUUUUGAAACUAUCUUUGGUUUAUUCAAUAGUAUGAAAUAAUGGAUAAUGUUUGUGUGACCUCAAUUGUAGACCAU